CGCUAGCUACAGGCUUAACACAUGCAAGUCGAGGGGCAGCAUGGUCUUAGCUUGCUAAGGCCGAUGGCGACCGGCGCACGGGUGAGUAACGCGUAUCCAACCUGCCUUACACUCUUGGACAGCCUUCUGAAAGGGAGAUUAAUACAAGAUGUUAUCAUGAGUAAGCAUUUUCGCAUGAUUAAAGGUUUACCGGUGUAAGAUGGGGAUGCGUUCCAUUAGAUAGUAGGCGGGGUAACGGCCCACCUAGUCUUCGAUGGAUAGGGGUUCUGAGAGGAAGGUCCCCCACAUUGGAACUGAGACACGGUCCAAACUCCUACGGGAGGCAGCAGUGAGGAAUAUUGGUCAAUGGACGAGAGUCUGAACCAGCCAAGUAGCGUGAAGGAUGAAGGUUCUAUGGAUUGUAAACUUCUUUUAUACGGGAAUAAACGAAUCCACGUGUGGAUUUUUGCAUGUACCGUAUGAAUAAGGAUCGGCUAACUCCGUGCCAGCAGCCGCGGUAAUACGGAGGAUCCGAGCGUUAUCCGGAUUUAUUGGGUUUAAAGGGAGCGUAGAUGGGUUGUUAAGUCAGUUGUGAAAGUUUGCGGCUCAACCGUAAAAUUGCAAUUGAUACUGGCAGUCUUGAGUACAGUUGAGGUAGGCGGAAUUCGUGGUGUAGCGGUGAAAUGCUUAGAUAUCACGAAGAACUCCGAUUGCGAAGGCAGCUUACUAACCUGUAACUGACAUUGAUGCUCGAAAGUGUGGGUAUCAAACAGGAUUAGAUACCCUGGUAGUCCACACGGUAAACGAUGAAUACUCGCUGUAGGCGAUAUACAGUCUGCGGCCAAGCGAAAGCAUUAAGUAUUCCACCUGGGGAGUACGCCGGCAACGGUGAAACUCAAAGGAAUUGACGGGGGCCCGCACAAGCGGAGGAACAUGUGGUUUAAUUCGAUGAUACGCGAGGAACCUUACCCGGGCUUAAAUUGCAACCGAAUAUGGCGGAAACGCUAUAGCUAGCAAUAGCGGUUGUGAAGGUGCUGCAUGGUUGUCGUCAGCUCGUGCCGUGAGGUGUCGGCUUAAGUGCCAUAACGAGCGCAACCCUUGCCGAUAGUUACUAACAGGUCAUGCUGAGGACUCUGUCGGGACUGCCAUCGUAAGAUGUGAGGAAGGUGGGGAUGACGUCAAAUCAGCACGGCCCUUACGUCCGGGGCUACACACGUGUUACAAUGGGGGGUACAGAGGGCUGCUACCACGCAAGUGGAUGCCAAUCCCAAAAACCUCUCUCAGUUCGGAUUGAAGUCUGCAACCCGACUUCAUGAAGCUGGAUUCGCUAGUAAUCGCGCAUCAGCCACGGCGCGGUGAAUACGUUCCCGGGCCUUGUACACACCGCCCGUCAAGCCAUGGGAGCCGGGGGUACCUGAAGUGCGUAACCGCAAGGAGCGCCCUAGGGUAAAACUGGUGACUGGGGC
Molecule: ribosomal RNA, 1445 nt
Filed under: uncultured organism
Description: SSU rRNA
Rfam family: Bacterial small subunit ribosomal RNA
Source: RNAcentral